Hylaeus volcanicus is the source of this 921-nucleotide long non-coding RNA. RefSeq lists it as uncharacterized. The record is from RefSeq and is a predicted model, not a curated record. The transcript is spliced from 3 exons. NCBI's taxonomy places the organism in Eukaryota, Metazoa, Arthropoda, Insecta, Hymenoptera, Colletidae.
CACCCACCUCCUUCUUCCUUCCCUUUCCGCUCUUCCUUUCUUUCUUUUCCCUAUGCUCUAGAACCACCUCCAACCUCUCCCCCCCUCCCCCCUCCCCACCACCCUCCGCCACCAAUCUCCACGUAUGGUUCUUUUCGUCGACCUUCCAACCCGUCUAUUCUUCGCGCCACCUAUCACGCCCACGUGCUUUCUUUCUCUUGGAGCACGGUUGGCCCGCUCGCGGGGGCCCAAUCGGUACUCGCGCAGCCAGCGCGUGAAGAAACUUUUUCAUCCGGAGGAAUUAUUAUGCCGUUGCUCUAGUUAUGCAUCGAAUACGCUUUCAGCCGUGAUCGAUAGUGAAAUGCUUGAAUGACUCGCUGGUAAACACCUUCGGCUUCAGGUUUCCUCCGUGUUUACUUUCAUUACUGGUUUAGCUCGCGACAGCAAACGUCUUUGACGACACUUUGUCGUUUCGCUUAAAACCCCGCGUAAACGUCUUUGCUACGACGCUAGUUGCACCACGACAAGUUUCGCGACUGUGAACGAUCUCGAUCCUAAUCUAGGUUCCUCCUCGCUAGUAGGACAAUUUCAGUUAACAAGUUGACCGCCCCGUAUAUGGCCGACGAGGCUUUUCGUCGAGGAACCGAAUGAAUUAUUACCGAAGGGAGCACGCGGCUGUUUAUCAUUACGCGCGAAAGAGAAGAGCGUCAGAAAAGGAGUGAAGACCAGGGGAGGAGGCGGAGAGGAUGGAAUAGAAAGAGUCAAAGAAGGAGACCGAGAAAAAGAGGGGACGGCUGCAAGGUCCUCUUCAACCUCGUAUACCGCGACGCUCGAGUCAAAAUACGCAAGAGAUGGUGGACAGGACUAGAGUCUGGGUUCUGAAUUAGACAUCAGGCACCUACCACUGGACCCUAUGUAGGAUGUGACGCGUGGAAGAGGAAG